AACGAACGCUGGCGGCAUGCCUAACACAUGCAAGUCGAACGAGACCUUCGGGUCUAGUGGCGCACGGGUGCGUAACGCGUGGGAAUCUACCCUUGGGUUCGGAAUAACAGUUAGAAAUGACUGCUAAUACCGGAUGAUGACGUAAGUCCAAAGAUUUAUCGCCCAAGGAUGAGCCCGCGUAAGAUUAGCUUGUUGGUGGGGUAAUGGCCUACCAAGGCGACGAUCUUUAGCUGGUCUGAGAGGAUGAUCAGCCACACUGGGACUGAGACACGGCCCAGACUCCUAGGGGAGGCAGCAGUGGGGAAUAUUGGAAAAUGGGGGAAAGCCUGAUCCAGCAAUGCCGCGUGAGUGAUGAAGGCCUUAGGGUUGUAAAGCUCUUUUACCAGGGAUGAUAAUGACAGUACCUGGAGAAUAAGCUCCGGCUAACUCCGUGCCAGCCGCCGCGGUAA
RNAcentral lists this ribosomal RNA (449 nucleotides) under uncultured bacterium. RNAcentral's name for it is "partial 16S ribosomal RNA". It matches the Rfam family "Bacterial small subunit ribosomal RNA", at positions 29 to 523 of the family's 1533-position model. The record is from RNAcentral.